AACAGCAAGCCUUGAAAACACACAUGCACCGGCACAUGGUCCCGGGUGCCGCUGGCAGCGUCUAACGCUGUCAAUGGUCGGAUCCAUGGGGUGCGUGGAGGCCUAAC
This 107-nucleotide small RNA is filed under the name Halomonas sp. HL-93. RNAcentral describes it as "t44 RNA". It matches the Rfam family "t44 RNA". Rfam says of the family: This family consists of a number of bacterial RNA genes of between 135 and 170 bases in length. The record is from RNAcentral. Lineage: Bacteria; Pseudomonadati; Pseudomonadota; Gammaproteobacteria; Oceanospirillales; Halomonadaceae.